AUUGAACGCUGGCGGAAUGCUUUACACAUGCAAGUCGAACGGCAGCACGGGAGCUUGCUCCUGGUGGCGAGUGGCGAACGGGUGAGUAACAUAUCGGAACGUACCCAGUCGUGGGGGAUAACUAUCCGAAAGGAUAGCUAAUACCGCAUACGUCCUGAGGGAGAAAGCGGGGGAUCGCAAGACCUCGCGCGAUUGGAGCGGCCGAUAUCGGAUUAGCUAGUUGGUGGGGUAAAGGCUCACCAAGGCGACGAUCCGUAGCGGGUCUGAGAGGACGACCCGCCACACUGGAACUGAGACACGGUCCAGACUCCUACGGGAGGCAGCAGUGGGGAAUUUUGGACAAUGGGGCGAACCCUGAUCCAGCCAUUCCGCGUGAGUGAAGAAGGCCUCGGUUGUAAG
RNAcentral lists this ribosomal RNA (399 nucleotides) under uncultured bacterium. Its description in RNAcentral is "bacterial SSU rRNA". It matches the Rfam family "Bacterial small subunit ribosomal RNA", at positions 30 to 429 of the family's 1533-position model. The record is from RNAcentral.